UGAAACCCGGCGGUCGGCUCGUCAUUGCCACCUGGUGCCAGCGUUCGACGCCGCCGGCUUUCACCGAAGAGGACCUGGUGAACCUUGACUACCUGUACAAGGAGUGGGCGCACCCGUACUUCAUAUCCAUCGAGGAAUACGCCUCACUGGUAGAGGGAACGACGACUAUGAGAGAUGUGGACACGGACGACUGGACGAGGCAGACGAUUGCGAGCUGGAGGCACUCCAUAUGGGCGGGUGUUUGGGAUCCGAUACCUGUGUUCUCACGCCCAAAUAUUUGGUACAAGACUCUCAGAGACAUAGUGUGCCUCGAGAGGAUGAGGCGCGCGUUCGGGCGAGGGCUCAUGCAGUACGGCAUGAUCAAGGGCGUCAAGGUCAAGGCUUCGAGAUGAGGCGGAUUGGGACGUAGAUGGGGUAGUCUGUUGCAUCUGAAAUACACUAUUUUUGUCGCCUGCACAAAAAGCUCCUAGUGUCCACCGUUGGUAACCUCGAGGUUUCAAAACGUAGAGCGCGGGGAGGCCCAUGGGAGGCUGGCGCGGGGGAGCGUGGCGACUGCCGCUGGUGGUCGUCGCGCUCCUAACAUGGUUAGCCGGAUGUGGUGGUGAUGCGGCCAUCACGGGUCCUCCAGGGUUCGUGGCGGGGUACCCGCGCAUCGAACGGGUCGGG
This 666-nucleotide long non-coding RNA is filed under the name Micromonas commoda. Its description in RNAcentral is "long non-coding RNA (MCOM_LNC000306)". The record is from RNAcentral. Lineage: Eukaryota; Viridiplantae; Chlorophyta; Mamiellophyceae; Mamiellales; Mamiellaceae.